GAUGAACGCUGGCGGCGUGCCUAAUACAUGCAAGUCGAGCGAACGGACGAGAAGCUUGCUUCUCUGAUGUUAGCGGCGGACGGGCGAGUAACACGUGGAUAACCUACCUAUAAGACUGGGAUAACUUCGGGAAACCGGAGAUAAUACCGGAUGAUAUUUUGAACCGCAUGAUUCAAAAGUGAAAGACGGUCUUGCUGUCACUUAUAGAUGGAUCCGCGCUGCAUUAGCUAGUUGGUAAGGUAACGGCUUACCAAGGCAACGAUGCGUAGCCGACCUGAGAGGGUGAUCGGCCACACUGGAACUGAGACACGGUCCAGACUCCUACGGGAGGCAGCAGUAGGGAAUCUUCCGCAAUGGGCGAAAGCCUGACGGAGCAACGCCGCGUGAGUGAUGAAGGUCUUCGGAUCGUAAAACUCUGUUAUUAGGGAAGAACAUAUGUGUAAGUAACUGUGCACAUCUUGACGGUACCUAAUCAGAAAGCCACGGCUAACUACGUG
Molecule: ribosomal RNA, 497 nt
Filed under: uncultured bacterium
Lineage: Bacteria
Description: partial 16S ribosomal RNA
Rfam family: Bacterial small subunit ribosomal RNA
Source: RNAcentral